This 468-nucleotide ribosomal RNA is filed under the name uncultured bacterium. RNAcentral describes it as "partial 16S ribosomal RNA". It matches the Rfam family "Bacterial small subunit ribosomal RNA", at positions 28 to 507 of the family's 1533-position model. The record is from RNAcentral.
GACGAACGCUGGCGGCGUGCUUAACACAUGCAAGUCGAACGGAAAGGCCCUGCUUUUGUGGGGUGCCCGAGUGGCGAACGGGUGAGUAACACGUGAGUAACCUGCCCUUGACUUUGGGAUAACUUCAGGAAACUGGGGCUAAUACCGGAUAGGAGCUCCUGCUGCAUGGUGGGGGUUGGAAAGUUUCGGCGGUUGGGGAUGGACUCGCGGCUUAUCAGCUUGUUGGUGGGGUAGUGGCUUACCAAGGCUUUGACGGGUAGCCGGCCUGAGAGGGUGACCGGCCACAUUGGGACUGAGAUACGGCCCAGACUCCUACGGGAGGCAGCAGUGGGGAAUAUUGCACAAUGGGCGGAAGCCUGAUGCAGCAACGCCGCGUGCGGGAUGACGGCCUUCGGGUUGUAAACCGCUUUCGCCUGUAACGAAGCGGGAGUGACGGUAAUGGGUAAAGAAGCACCGGCUAACUACGUG